AGCAGCCGCGGUAAUUCCAGCUCCAAUAGCGUAUAUUAGAGUUGUUGCAGUUAAAAAGCUCGUAGUUGAAUUUCGGGAUCAAUACGUCGGUCGUGCUUAGGUACGUACUGGCGUAAUUGAUUUCUCCCUUCUGACGAACCAUGAUGUCAUUAACUUGGUGUCAUGGGAAAUCAGGACUGUUACUUUGAAAAAAUUGAGUGUUUAAAGCAGGCUCACGCUUGAAUACAUUAGCAUGGAAUAAUGAAAUAGGACGUUCGAUCCUAUUUUGUUGGUUUUUAGGAUCAACGUAAUGAUUAAUAGGGAUAGUUGGGGGCAUUAGUAUUCAAUUGUCAGAGGUGAAAUUCUUGGAUUUAUUGAAGACUAACUACUGCGAAAGCAUUUGCCAAGGAUGUUUUCA
RNAcentral lists this ribosomal RNA (397 nucleotides) under uncultured Glomeromycotina. RNAcentral's name for it is "SSU rRNA". It matches the Rfam family "Eukaryotic small subunit ribosomal RNA", at positions 569 to 972 of the family's 1831-position model. Lineage: Eukaryota; Fungi; Glomeromycota. The record is from RNAcentral.